RNAcentral lists this ribosomal RNA (253 nucleotides) under uncultured bacterium. Its description in RNAcentral is "partial 16S ribosomal RNA". It matches the Rfam family "Bacterial small subunit ribosomal RNA", at positions 524 to 776 of the family's 1533-position model. The record is from RNAcentral.
UACAGAGGUCUCAAGCGUUGUUCGGAUUCAUUGGGCGUAAAGGGUGCGUAGGCGGCGCGGUAAGUCGGGUGUGAAAUCUCGGGGCUUAACUCCGAAACUGCAUUCGAUACUGCCGUGCUUGAGGACUGGAGAGGAGACUGGAAUUUACGGUGUAGCGGUGAAAUGCGUAGAUAUCGUAAGGAAGACCAGUGGCGAAAGGCGGGUCUCUGGGCCUUACCUGACGCUGAGGAGCGAAAGCGUGGGAGCGAACAGG